GGGCAGCAUGAGGUAGCAAUACCUUGAUGGCGACCGGCGCACGGGUGAGUAACGCGUAUGCAACCUGCCUGAUACCGGGGUAUAGCCCCAUGGAAACGUGGAUUAACACCCCAUAGUACUUUUAUCCUGCAUGGGAUGUGAGUUAAAUGUUCAAGGUAUCGGAUGGGCAUGCGUCCUAUUAGUUAGUUGGCGGGGUAACAGCCCACCAAGACGAUGAUAGGUAGGGGUUCUGAGAGGAAGGUCCCCCACAUUGGAACUGAGACACGGUCCAAACUCCUACGGGAGGCAGCAGUGAGGAAUAUUGGUCAAUGGACGUAAGUCUGAACCAGCCAAGUCGCGUGAGGGAAGACUGCCCUAUGGGUUGUAAACCUCUUUUAUAAGGGAAGAAUAAGUUCUACGUGUAGAAUGAUGCCUGUACCUUAUGAAUAAGCAUCGGCUAACUCCGUGCCAGCAGCCGCGGUAAUACGGAGGAUGCGAGCGUUAUCCGGAUUUAUUGGGUUUAAAGGGUGCGUAGGCGGUUUAUUAAGUUAGUGGUUAAAUAUUUGAGCUAAACUCAAUUGUGCCAUUAAUACUGGUAAACUGGAGUACAGACGAGGUAGGCGGAAUAAGUUAAGUAGCGGUGAAAUGCAUACGCUAUAACUUAGAACUCCGAUAGCGAAGGCAGCUUACCAGACUGUAACUGACG
This 685-nucleotide ribosomal RNA is filed under the name uncultured Bacteroidales bacterium. RNAcentral describes it as "bacterial SSU rRNA". It matches the Rfam family "Bacterial small subunit ribosomal RNA", at positions 66 to 745 of the family's 1533-position model. The record is from RNAcentral. Lineage: Bacteria; Pseudomonadati; Bacteroidota; Bacteroidia; Bacteroidales.